UACGAAGGGACCUAGCGUAGUUCGGAAUUACUGGGCUUAAAGAGUUCGUAGGUGGUUGAAAAAGUUGGUGGUGAAAUCCCAGAGUUUAACUCUGGAACUGCCAUCAAAACUUUUCAGCUAGAGUAUGAUAGGGGAAAGCAGAAUUUCUAGUGUAGAGGUGAAAUUCGUAGAUAUUAGAAAGAAUACCAAUUGCGAAGGCAGCUUUCUGGAUCAUUACUGACACUGAGGAACGAAAGCAUGGGUAGCGAAGAGGAUUAGAUACCCUCGUAGUCCAUGCCGUAAACGAUGUGUGUUAGACGUUGGAAAUUUAUUUUCAGUGUCGCAGCGAAAGCGAUAAACACACCGCCUGGGGAGUACGACCGCAAGGUUAAAACUCAAAUGAAUUGACGGGGACCCGCACAAGUAGUGGAGCAUGUGGUUUAAUUCGAAGAUACGCGCAGAACCUUACCAACACUUGACAUGUUCGUCGCGACUCUAAGAGAUUAGAGUUUUCGGUUCGGCCGGACGAAACACAGGUGCUGCAUGGCUGUCGUCAGCUCGUGUCGUGAGAUGUUGGGUUAAGUCCCGCAACGAGCGCAACCCUCACUUUUAGUUGCCAUCAUUAAGUUGGGCACUCUGAAAGAACUGCCAGUGAUAAGCUGGAGGAAGGUGGGGAUGACGUCAAGUCCUCAUGGCCCUUACGUGUUGGGCUACACACGUGCUACAAUGGUAUCUACAACAGGAAGCAAGACUGCGAAGUUAAGCAAAUCCCUAAAAGAUACCUCAGUUCGGAUUGCACUCCGCAACUCGAGUGCAUGAAGCUGGAAUUACUAGUAAUCGUGGAUCAGCGUGCCACGGUGAAUGCGAGCCCGGGUCU
RNAcentral lists this ribosomal RNA (856 nucleotides) under uncultured bacterium. RNAcentral describes it as "SSU rRNA". It matches the Rfam family "Bacterial small subunit ribosomal RNA", at positions 524 to 1381 of the family's 1533-position model. The record is from RNAcentral.